ACUACUUAGUGACCGAUAGCGCAUAGUACCGUGAGGGAAAGGUGAAAAGAACCCCGGGAGGGGAGUGAAAUAGAACCUGAAACCCUGCACUUACAAGCUGUGGGAGCACAUUACUUGUGUGACCGCGUACUUUUUGUAGAACGGGCCAACGAGUUACGUUAAGUAGCAAGGUUAAGCACUUAAGGUGUGGAGCCGUAGCGAAAGCGAGUCUUAAAUGGGCGAUUAAGUUACUUGGCGUAGACCCGAAACCGGGCGACCUAUCCAUGAGCAGGUUGAAGCGAAAGUAAAAUUUCGUGGAGGACCGAACCCACGAGCGUUGAAAAGCUCGGGGAUGACUUGUGGAUAGCGGUGAAAUUCCAAUCGAGCCCGGAGAUAGCUGGUUCUCCCCGAAAUAGCUUUAGGGCUAGCCUCAAGCGUAGAGAAACGGAGGUAGAGCACUGAAUGUCCUAGGGGGUAUUGCACUUACCGAAGACUAUCAAACUCCGAAUGCCGUUUUCUUUUACUUGGGAGUCAGACUGUGGGUGAUAAGAUUCAUAGUCAAAAGGGCAACAGCCCAGAUCGUCAGCUAAGGUCCCUAAAUGUACGUUAAGUGGUAAAGGAUGUGGGAUUGCACAGACAACCAGGAUGUUGGCUUAGAAGCAGCCACUCAUUUAAAGAGUGCGUAAUAGCUCACUGGUCGAGUGAUCCUGCGCCGAAAAUUUCCGGGGCUAAAACGUACUACCGAAGCUACGGCAUCAUUUAUGAUGGGUAGGGGAGCUUCGUAUGCAGGCUGAAGCAUGACCGUAAGGACAUGUGGACAGUAUACGAGUGAGAAUGUUGGCAUGAGUAGCGAGACGUGGGUGAGAAUCCCACGGGCCGUAAACCCAAGGUUUCCAGGGGAAGGUUCGUCCGCCCUGGGUUAGUCGGGACCUAAGCCGAGGCCGAAAGGCGUAGGUGAUGGACAACAGGUUGAUAUUCCUGUACCGCCAAUAAGCGUUUGAGAGAUGGAGUGACACAGUAGGAUAAGCUAACCGUACUGUUGGUUAUGUACGGCUAAGCAUUGAGGCAGUCUAAAUAGGCAAAUCCGUUUAGACAAUGCUAGGAUGUGAUGGGGAAGCCCUUCGGGGCGAAGUAGCUGAUUUCACACUGUCAAGAAAAGCUUCUAUCGAGUUUAAAGGCGCCCGUACCGUAAACCGACACAGGUGGGUGAGGAGAGUAUCCUAAGGCCAGCGAGAGAACUAUUGUUAAGGAACUCGGCAAAAUGACCCCGUAACUUAGGGAGAAGGGGUGCCUGUCUAUGACAGGCCGCAGAGAAUAGGCCCAAGCGACUGUUUACCAAAAACACAGGUUUCUGCUAAGUCGCAAGACGAUGUAUAGGAGCUGACGCCUGCCCGGUGCUGGAAGGUUAAGGGGAUCUGUUAGAGCAAUCGAAGCAGUGAACUUAAGCCCCAGUAAACGGCGGCCGUAACUAUAACGGUCCUAAGGUAGCGAAAUUCCUUGUCGGGUAAGUUCCGACCC
Molecule: ribosomal RNA, 1497 nt
Filed under: human gut metagenome
Description: bacterial LSU rRNA
Rfam family: Bacterial large subunit ribosomal RNA
Source: RNAcentral